UGAGAGGAUGAUCAGCCACACUGGNAACUGAGACACGGNUCCAGACUCCUACGGGNAGGCAGCAGUGGGGAAUAUUGCACAAUGGGCGAAAGCCUGAUGCAGCCAUGCCGCGUGUAUGAAGAAGGCCUUCGGGUUGUAAAGUACUUUCAGUAGGGAGGAAGGCGUUGUCGUUAAUAGCGGCUUCGUUUGACGUUACCUACAGAAGAAGCACCGGCUAACUCCGUGCCAGCAGCCGCGGUAAUACGGAGGGUGCGAGCGUUAAUCGGAAUUACUGGGCGUAAAGCGCAUGCAGGUGGUUCAUUAAGUCAGAUGUGAAAGCCCGGGGCUCAACCUCGGAACCGCAUUUGAAACUGGUGAACUAGAGUGCUGUAGAGGGGGGUAGAAUUUCAGGUGUAGCGGUGAAAUGCGUAGAGAUCUGAAGGAAUACCAGUGGCGAAGGCGGCCCCCUGGACAGACACUGACACUCAGAUGCGAAAGCGUGGGGAGCAAACAGGAUUAGAUACCCUGGUAGUCCACGCCGUAAACGAUGUCUACUUGGAGGUUGUGGCCUUGAGCCGUGGCUUUCGGAGCUAACGCGUUAAGUAGACCGCCUGGGGAGUACGGUCGCAAGAUUAAAACUCAAAUGAAUUGACGGGGGCCCGCACAAGCGGUGGAGCAUGUGGUUUAAUUCGAUGCAACGCGAAGAACCUUACCUACUCUUGACAUCCAGAGAAUUCGCUAGAGAUAGCUUAGUGCCUUCGGGAGCUCUGAGACAGGUGCUGCAUGGCUGUCGUCAGCUCGUGUUGUGAAAUGUUGGGUUAAGUCCCGCAACGAGCGCAACCCUUAUCCUUGUUUGCCAGCACGUCAUGGUGGGAACUCCAGGGAGACUGCCGGUGAUAAACCGGAGGAAGGUGGGGACGACGUCAAGUCAUCAUGGCCCUUACGAGUAGGGCUACACACGUGCUACAAUGGCGCAUACAGAGGGCUGCAAACUAGCGAUAGUAAGCGAAUCCCAAAAAGUGCGUCGUAGUCCGGAUCGGAGUCUGCAACUCGACUCCGUGAAGUCGGAAUCGCUAGUAAUCGUAGAUCAGAAUGCUACGGUGAAUACGUUGCCCGGGCCUUGUACACACCGCCCGUCACAUCCGUGGGAGUGGNNUNCAAAAGAAGUGG
RNAcentral lists this ribosomal RNA (1149 nucleotides) under Aliivibrio sp. a54. Its description in RNAcentral is "bacterial SSU rRNA". It matches the Rfam family "Bacterial small subunit ribosomal RNA", at positions 293 to 1429 of the family's 1533-position model. The record is from RNAcentral. Lineage: Bacteria; Pseudomonadati; Pseudomonadota; Gammaproteobacteria; Vibrionales; Vibrionaceae.